RNAcentral lists this ribosomal RNA (458 nucleotides) under uncultured bacterium. RNAcentral describes it as "SSU rRNA". It matches the Rfam family "Bacterial small subunit ribosomal RNA", at positions 26 to 518 of the family's 1533-position model. The record is from RNAcentral.
AGAUUGAACGCUGGCGGCAGGCCUAACACAUGCAAGUCGAGCGGUAGAGAGAAGCUUGCUUCUCUUGAGAGCGGCGGACGGGUGAGUAACACGUGGGAACGUGCCCUUUGGUUCAGAACAACUCAGGGAAACUUGAGCUAAUACUGGAUAAGCCCUUCGGGGGAAAGAUUUAUCGCCAUUGGAGCGGCCCGCGUCUGAUUAGCUAGUUGGUAGGGUAAAGGCCUACCAAGGCUACGAUCAGUAGCUGGUCUGAGAGGAUGAUCAGCCACACUGGGACUGAGACACGGCCCAGACUCCUACGGGAGGCAGCAGUAGGGAAUCUUGCGCAAUGGGCGAAAGCCUGACGCAGCCAUGCCGCGUGAAUGAUGAAGGUCUUAGGAUUGUAAAAUUCUUUCAGCGGGGACGAUAAUGACGGUACCCGCAGAAGAAGCCCCGGCUAACUUCGUGCCAGCAGCCGC